Molecule: ribosomal RNA, 265 nt
Filed under: uncultured bacterium
Lineage: Bacteria
Description: partial 16S ribosomal RNA
Rfam family: Bacterial small subunit ribosomal RNA
Source: RNAcentral
UAUGCGACCGGCGCACGGGUGAGUAACACGUAUCCAACCUGCCGAUGACUCGGGGAUAGCCUUUCGAAAGAAAGAUUAAUACCCGAUGGCAUAGUUCUUCCGCAUGGUAGAACUAUUAAAGAAUUUCGGUCAUCGAUGGGGAUGCGUUCCAUUAGCUUGUUGGCGGGGUAACGGCCCACCAAGGCAUCGAUGGAUAGGGGUUCUGAGAGGAAGGUCCCCCACAUUGGAACUGAGACACGGUCCAAACUCCUACGGGAGGCAGCAG